AUACGGAGGAUGCGAGCGUUAUCCGGAUUCAUUGGGUUUAAAGGGUGCGUAGGCUGUGCAAUAAGUCAGGGGUGAAAUACCGUCGCUCAACGUCGGGGCUGCCCUUGAUACUGUCGCGCUGGAGUGCGGAUGCCGCCGGAGGAAUGAGUGGUGUAGCGGUGAAAGGCAUAGAUAUCACUCAGAACACCGAUUGCGAAGGCUUCUGGGAAAUCCGCCACUGACGCGGAGGCACGAAAGCGGGGGGAUAGAACAGGAUUAGAUCCCCUGGUAUUCCACGCCGUAAACGAUGAUGGCUAACCGCCGGCGACACAUUGUCGGUGGCCAAGCGAAAGCGAUAAGCCAUCCACCUGGGGAGUACGACCGCAAGGUUGAAACUCAAAUGAAUUGACGGGGG
This 394-nucleotide ribosomal RNA is filed under the name uncultured bacterium. Its description in RNAcentral is "partial 16S ribosomal RNA". It matches the Rfam family "Bacterial small subunit ribosomal RNA", at positions 523 to 919 of the family's 1533-position model. The record is from RNAcentral.